Molecule: transfer RNA, 73 nt
Filed under: Felis catus (domestic cat)
Lineage: Eukaryota; Metazoa; Chordata; Mammalia; Carnivora; Felidae
Rfam family: tRNA
About the family: Transfer RNA (tRNA) molecules are approximately 80 nucleotides in length.
Source: Rfam by way of RNAcentral
GCCUGGCUGGCUCAGUGGGUAGAGCAUCUUAACUCUUGAUCUAAAACUGUAAGUUCGAGCCCUAUGUUGGGUG